RNAcentral lists this ribosomal RNA (370 nucleotides) under uncultured organism. RNAcentral's name for it is "partial 16S ribosomal RNA". It matches the Rfam family "Bacterial small subunit ribosomal RNA", at positions 527 to 896 of the family's 1533-position model. The record is from RNAcentral.
GUAGGUGGCGAGCGUUAUCCGGAUUUAUUGGGCGUAAAGCGCGUGCAGGCGGUUCUGUAAGUCGGACGUGAAAGCUCCUGGCUUAACUGGGAGAGGUCGUUCGAUACUGCAGGACUUGAGGUCGGGAGAGGGACGUGGAAUUCCCGGUGUAGUGGUGGAAUGCGUAGAGAUCGGGAGGAACACCAGUGGCGAAGGCGGCGUCCUGGCCCGCACCUGACGCUAAGACGCGAAAGCGUGGGUAGCGAACGGGAUUAGAUACCCCGGGUAGUCCACGCCGUAAACGGUGGAUACUAGGUGUUGGUGGCUAUCGUCAUCAGUGCCGUAGCUAACGCGUUAAGUAUCCCGCCUGGGAACUACGGCCGCAAGGCUA